GAGUUGUGCUGGUAAGCACUGUGGAUUGUUAACUCUCCAAGCCGGAUAACUCCUGUCAUCAGGCUGUGCUGAAUUUAUUCGCUCCCUUGUUAGGAACUAGAUCGGUGCUGAAGGCGAUCCAGAGGCACGCUGGCAAUUCAAGCCAUUCCCGGCUCUUCUCGUCCUUCCCUGGAUGCGUUCAGAAGGACAUCUUGUGGCUGCCCUGAGAUUGUUGUCAGCUUUAGAGAAGAAAGGAGGGUGAUCAACUAAGCAGAACAACACAAGUUCUCCUAGCACCAGGCCAGCAUAAAGGGCAUGCUGAAUUUUGGAACUAAACAUCACAAGUGCAGCCACAAAUGAGAGCAGCCAGUAAAUCAAUAGGACCCCUGAAGACUGGA
This is a long non-coding RNA of Vidua macroura (Pin-tailed whydah), 377 nucleotides long. RefSeq lists it as uncharacterized. The transcript has 3 exons. NCBI's taxonomy places the organism in Eukaryota, Metazoa, Chordata, Aves, Passeriformes, Viduidae. The record is from RefSeq and is a predicted model, not a curated record.